RNA transcript from Oreochromis aureus, 1983 nucleotides. RefSeq lists it as uncharacterized. The transcript has 6 exons. NCBI's taxonomy places the organism in Eukaryota, Metazoa, Chordata, Actinopteri, Cichliformes, Cichlidae. The record is from RefSeq and is a predicted model, not a curated record.
AGCAUUACAUUCAUCCAGCCAUGACAAGCGUUAUGAAGAGUGGGUUCAUAUUUCAAUUCCCAGUUGGUGGACUCAUUUAAAGGCUCUGUGAUUCACUGAAUUAUCAUGGGUCAGAUUUUCCUGGAGGCAUCACUAUGCCUUCUGUUGAAUCAGGCAAUUAAAAUGAAAGUCACCAGAAAAAUACUCGGGGGUGGCCAUUUUGUAUGAUACUUUGAAUAACUUGCCUGAUACACUGUAAUCCCUAACAGUUGUUCUAGCUCAUAACUAAUAAGCUCAUAACACUCAAAUGUCGUUUUGUAGUUGAGCAAACUAUAAAGUAUUGAGCUCUGUUGGCUUUUAUGCGACUUUAAUUGAAUAGGGCUCAAUAUUUUUUAGCUAAUUUGUUUGGAACGCUCAAAAAGUUUAAGAAGCAUAUAUUAGUGACGUUCUGGUGGGUGGAGUCUUGUCGCUCCCUCAGGAAAGCUGAGUCAGCCAUCUUGAAUUUACCUUGAUGCGGGGAAGAUUUGGCCUGCCCGUGUGGAUUAAGAGUCCCCAACUUCAACCUACAACGACCACCACCUUAAUUUUUUUCAUCAACUGCCCUAAAUUUGGUAAGUCUAACGUGUUUUUGUUUUGUUUAAAUUUAAUUUCGAUAAACAGUCUUUUUUAUUUUUUACUGGAAAUAUAUUCGUACUUUGUGCACAGUGAAUGUUUGUUAUAAAUAAAUUCGAAUCCAAGUAAUUGUAAUUUUAGAAGUUUUCGAAUGUGACAAAUACGUAAUGUUAUUUCAAAUUACAACGGUGUAACGUUUUGGCGGUUUUCCGUGGGGGACAACAUUUCCCAUAAUGCAUUGUAUUCUUGCCCGGGAAGUUGACGGUGGCAGUUCUAGCUCCAUGCAUUUGAACUUUCUACUAAAACUUUCUACUGUCCGUUUCUACCGGUUGUCGUAUUCGCCGGUAAUGCACGUGCGUAUUAGGGGUAUUCCACUAAGCGAGCUCUACAAGUCAAGACUGGGCAGUGGGUCCAUGAAUAAACUGCCUCACUCCUGCAGGUGUCUGUCCAUACUUCCCAUCGUUCAAGAACCAAAAGAUGGCUGCUGCCCAGAAGCAUGUGGUGCAUGUGUAUGUUGAACGAGACACCGCCCUGAAACUUACUCUACUUGAGCGACCAAAGUCAGUGGAGGAGCUGAAAGAAAUAAUUAAAGAGAGGAGGUUCAAGCCAAGACCGAAUGGGGACUUUAGCCUUCACUAUGUCCUCAUGGACACAACCUAUGCCCUAUGUCGCCAAGAAAUUGUUGGAGCUGUUGGAGCUCCACGAGUGAGAGACAUCGUGGACAGAUGGCCAGCCCUACUUAUGGAGUCACAGGUGGUUGCAGAGUUCCACCGAAUCAAGAAUGUUAACCUGCGCACUCAAUUCUACAAGGAGCUGGACAGACACACGCCUAGACUCAUCACUUUGUUCCGAGACAAGGCCAUCAAGACUGGCAAGAUUGCAGAGGAGCUAGCAAGCUCAUGAGAAUUUAUGACAUUCAGGAACAGCGUGAUGUAAAUACAAGACGGGUCCUCGUCCUUCAUGCACUUCCUGUGUACCUGCGUGAAGAUGCCUCCACGUUAUUCAGGACUUGUGAUUCAGCAGAUGGUCCAGACCUCACUGUCACUCUUGUGGCUCUGCUGACAGUUGUCACGGAUGACACUACUGAUUCGGCCCUCUUCAGUCCCGAAAGUAUCUGCAUUGUCGUUGAGGAUGAAAUACUUGUGAAUGGUCCCACAAAUCUGGCUGACUCAUUUCUCCUGCUCUUUGGGUACAUCUAUGCACUAGACCUACAAUACCCAAAGAAACUUGAGCUUACAUUCACAUUUAUCCAGAAGGUUGUGAUGUGCCUUGAGGACAACAAACCACUGAAAGGGCGUCUACUGACGCUGAAGAAUGAUUUGUUCAAUGAGUGAAUCACUCAGAAUGGACUACUUGUUGAGCUGAGUAUUGAGAAAGCUUUUUUUUUUUUUU